Molecule: ribosomal RNA, 373 nt
Filed under: uncultured eukaryote
Lineage: Eukaryota
Description: partial 18S ribosomal RNA
Rfam family: Eukaryotic small subunit ribosomal RNA
Source: RNAcentral
CAAUAGCGUAUAUUAAAGUUGUUGCAGUUAAAAAGCUCGUAGUUGAAUUUUGGGCCCGGAUGGGCGGUCCGCUUCACGGCGUGUACUGUCCGGCUGGGCCUUUCCUCUUGGUGAUCUGUCGUACUUGUGCGGCAGUGGAACCAGGACCUUUACUUUGAAGAAAUUAGAGUGUUCAAAGCAGGCUAGACGCCCGAAUAUAUUAGCAUGGAAUAAUAAAAUAGGACGUGCGGUUCUAUUUUGUUGGUUUUUGGAAUCGCCGUAAUGAUUAAUAGGGACGGUCGGGGGCAUUAGUACUCACAUGCUGGAGGUGAAAUUCUUGGAUUUUGUGAAGACUAACUUCUGCGAAAGCAUUUGCCAAGGACGUUUUCAUUAA